This 1122-nucleotide long non-coding RNA is filed under the name Callithrix jacchus (white-tufted-ear marmoset). Its description in RNAcentral is "lncRNA (ENSCJAG00000070449.1)". Lineage: Eukaryota; Metazoa; Chordata; Mammalia; Primates; Cebidae. The record is from RNAcentral.
AUGCCAGGUGGGACCUGCUUCGGUGAGGACGCCCUCCCAUUGCAGGGAGACCCACACUCGCCCACCCUCUCACUCACCCACAUUCACACCCACACUCACCCUCACCCACACCCUCACUCAUUCACACUCACCCUCACCCACACACUCACCCCUACUCACCCCACACUCACACUCACCCACACCCUCACUCACCCACAUUCACCCUCACUCAUCCACACACCCUCACCCACACUCCUUGACUCACCCACACACCCACACUCCCUCACUCACCCACACUCACCCUCAUCCACACUCACCCUCACUCACCCACACUCACCCACACUCACCCUCACUCACCCACACUCACCCUCACCCACACUCACCCUCACUCACCCACUCACCCUCACUCACCCACACUCACCCUCACCCACACUCACCCUCACUCACCCACACUCACCCUCAUCCACACUCACCCUCACUCACCCACACUCACCCUCAUCCACACUCACCCUCACUCACCCUCACUCACCCACACUCACCCUCAUCCACACUCACCCUCACUCACCCACACUCACCCUUACUCACCCACACUCACCCUCACUUACCCACACUCACCCUCAUCCACACUCACCCUCACUCACCCUCACUCACUCACACUCACCCUCAUCCACACUCACCCUCACUCACCCACACUCACCCUCACUCACCCACACUCACCCACACCCCUCACUCACCCACACUCACCCUCACUCACCCACACUCACCCACACUCACCCUCACUCACCCUCACUUACCCACACUCACCCUCAUCCACACUCACCCUCACCCACACUCACCCUCAUCCACACUCACCCACACUCACCCUCAUCCACACCCACCCACACUCACCCUCACUCACCCUCACCCACACUCACCCUCAUCCACACUCACCCUCACCCACACACCCACACCCUCACCCACAAUCACCCUCACUCAUCCAUACUCACCCUCACUCACCCACCCUCACCCACCCUCACCCUCACACACUCACCCCUACUCACCCACAUCCACUCACACUCACCCAUGCUCACUUUCACCCAUGCUCACCCACACUCAACCACACACACCCACACUGAGACCACGGAGACAUGCCAGUUCAGCUAA